UAAGACGGAGGGUGCAAACGUUGUUCGGAAUCACUGGGCAUAAAGAGCACGUAGGCGGUCCGCUAAGUCAAUUGUGAAAUCCCCCGGCUCAACCGAGGAACUGCAACUGAUACUGGCGGACUCGAGGACGGUAGGGGUGAGUGGAACUCCAGGUGGAGCGGUGAAAUGCGUAGAUAUCUGGAGGAACACCGGUGGCGAAGGCGACUCACUGGACCGUCUCUGACGCUGAGGUGCGAAAGCUAGGGUAGCAAACGGGAUUAGAUACCCCGGUAGUCCUAGCCGUAAACGAUGGGUACUAGGCAAUGGGAUUACCUAUGAGUCUCAUUGCCGGAGCAAAUGUAUUAAGUACCCCGCCUGGGGAGUACACUCGCAAGGGUG
RNAcentral lists this ribosomal RNA (378 nucleotides) under uncultured Planctomycetota bacterium. RNAcentral's name for it is "bacterial SSU rRNA". It matches the Rfam family "Bacterial small subunit ribosomal RNA", at positions 521 to 896 of the family's 1533-position model. The record is from RNAcentral. Lineage: Bacteria; Pseudomonadati; Planctomycetota.